UUUUUCUUCUACAUUUUUAUGUAAAUGUGCCACUACUUUAUGGUAAGACCUGUUAAAAAUGCUUUGUUUUAUUAUUAAGAAGGUAUCUCAGUUAAAUAUAUUGUACUUUGUUCUAAACAGCUUUACAGUAUUAGACAGCCAUUCUGAGUUAUAAUUCAAGACCAUUUUGUUGUCCAUUUCCUAGGAAUACUAUAAUAAUACACUGGGAAUUUCAGGUGGUUCUACCUGUGAUUUGGGAGUUGCAGAUCUAUAUCCCGUAAGAAAGAACCCACAACCCAUGGGAAAUCCAGUAUUAAGUAGUCAUUACCAUCCCCAAAAAGCUCAAAAGGGCUAUCAAAAGAUUCAGCUAAAAUUAUCACAAAAUAUAAUGACUGGUGAAAGGCAUUUUGGAGCAGCCUUUUAAAAAUCUCCAAUACUUGUCUAUUUUUAUUUUCUGGGUUUUGACUUUACUUGACUGGUAUCCAUGGUUUUAAGGAAAAGUUCUCAGAAAAUCUAAUGUGUCUUCAUAAUUUUCAUAUUAAAAAUUAAUCAAGACACAUUACAGAAUAUUUAUGAGUGCUUCUGAACAUGAGAACUUCAGGAUUAAGCCUUAAACAAAGACCUGUGUCAGGUUAACCUAAAAACUCAGGAACUCAGAGUUGAAAAUUUGGUUAAUAGUCAUUACUUGGCUUCCCUAAUAGGUAUGUGGGCUUGCUCUUCUAUCUUCUUGCAUUACAUAAUCCCAUAACCCUGCAAACUGCUCAGUAUGAUUAAUUAGAUGUUCAUCUUUUUAGAAAAAGGAUAUGGAGGAAGAGUUUGGUCUCUAGUUUUUGCUAUCUAUGGCUUUACAUAAGUCUCUAAAGGACCUCAAAGGCUACUUUAUGCAGUGUAUUUAAGUAUUACAUUGGUGUUAAAUGAGGCUGUUAUUACAAUCUUAUUGUCUUUGAUAGUUCCUAUCCCAUUGCUUAAACUAUGACCUAUUUGAAGAUACAAUGACAUUUUUGAGUUAAAGUAGUAGUGUACAUUUCCUUUACCUUUGAAAAACUCAAAUAAGAAAUCUUAGCCCAUAAUGUAAAAUUGCUGCUUUACCUAGUUGAAUCAGGUUAGCUCAUAUUGAGUGAGAUUUUUUUUUGGUUUGAACAAUGGAGAAAAAGUAAACAUAACCUAAGUCUUAUGGCACAUAGCUUCACUGCCACCUAUAUAUUUGUGACUUCAUUCUUACAUAAUUUUAAUGAGAAAGAGAGGCUUCCAUGUAAAUUUUACCAUAGUAUCAAAAGAAACGUUAGAAAAUUAGUAGCAUGUAUUUUGCUUGAAGCCUACCAUUUUGCAUUAACUACUCUAAAUGAAUGGCUGAGCAUGAAAGUACCAUAGUUGUACUUGAUGCUUUGGAAAUACCUUUCCAAGAUUCCCUUUAAUUUGGUUGUUCACUUAACUGUGUGCCUG
RNAcentral lists this long non-coding RNA (1422 nucleotides) under Sarcophilus harrisii (Tasmanian devil). Its description in RNAcentral is "lncRNA (ENSSHAG00000027830.1)". The record is from RNAcentral. Lineage: Eukaryota; Metazoa; Chordata; Mammalia; Dasyuromorphia; Dasyuridae.